GUUCUUUUGUGGGUGCUAGAGAAGAAGACAGUCAAUCUCAAAGAUAUAAAUGUUGGCAGUUACAAGCGUAAGAAUAAUAGGAGGGGAUACGGAUGAGUUCUCGUAACAAUGUGUUUACAUCAAGAAUUGGCUUGGAGUCAUUACCUGUUUACCUUAGUUAUGGAAGAGCUAACUAGUCAUAUUUAAGAUGAUGUUCUAUGGUGCAUAUUAUUUGCAGAUGAUGUUGUCAUGAUGGAUGAAACUAGUGAUAGAGUUCAUCAAAAGUUAAGAGUUGUGGAGAAGGACUUUCGAGAAUAAGUGUUUUAGGCUUAGUAAAAGUAAGAUGGGAUAUGCGCAUUGUGGUUUUAGCUCUUGUAGAAGGAAUGAAUGAGAGAUUUGAUUGGAUGGAGUUUGGUGCCAAAAUGCAGCUAAUUAAGAUUAGGAAUGACAAUAUUUGCCAGAGUGCAUGUAGCACACAUUGGGAAUAGAAAAAAGGGGAGAGAGAUAGAGGGGGUCGAUUAAGAUGGUUUGAUCAUGUUCAAUAUAGAGCAUGGAAUGUUUUCAGUGUGAAAGUAUGAUAAGUUAGUUAGGUUUGUUCAUGGGUUGUAUUGAAUAAAAUUUAAUUCUAUUCCAACCCAAGCCAACUUAAAUAAGUGAAUGGUGAUUUCCCAAUCCAAUCCAACCAACCUGACUGCAAAAAAUCUAUAAGUUGGUUGGUCAGGUUAAAUUACAUCCAACAUUCCAAACUGCCCUAAGUUUAAAAGGCUAAAAGUGGAUGCCGUACUUGC
This 767-nucleotide unclassified non-coding RNA is filed under the name Hevea brasiliensis (rubber tree). Lineage: Eukaryota; Viridiplantae; Streptophyta; Magnoliopsida; Malpighiales; Euphorbiaceae. The record is from RNAcentral.